Molecule: ribosomal RNA, 458 nt
Filed under: uncultured bacterium
Lineage: Bacteria
Description: SSU rRNA
Rfam family: Bacterial small subunit ribosomal RNA
Source: RNAcentral
AGGAUAAACGCUGGCGGCGUGCCUAAUACAUGCAAGUCGAGCGGCAGCGCGGUCUUCGGACUGGCGGCGAGCGGCGGACGGCUGAGUAACACGUAGGAACGUACCCCAAAGUGAGGGAUAAGCACCAGAAAUGGUGUCUAAUACCGCAUGUGCUCUAAGGAGUAAAGCUUCGGCGCUUUGGGAACGGCCUACGCAUGAUUAGCUUGUUGGUGAGGUAAUGGCUCACCAAGGCGACGAUCAUUAGCUGGUCUGAGAGGAUGAUCAGCCAGACUGGGACUGAGAACGGCCCAGACUCCUACGGGAGGCAGCAGUAGGGAAUUUUCCACAAUGGGCGAAAGCCUGAUGGAGCAACGCCGCGUGCAGGAUGAAGGCCUUAGGGUUGUAAACUGCUUUUAUGUGUGACGAAUAUGACGGUAGCAUAUGAAUAAGGAUCGGCUAACUCCGUGCCAGCAGCCGAC